Molecule: ribosomal RNA, 550 nt
Filed under: uncultured Glomus
Lineage: Eukaryota; Fungi; Glomeromycota; Glomeromycetes; Glomerales; Glomeraceae
Description: SSU rRNA
Rfam family: Eukaryotic small subunit ribosomal RNA
Source: RNAcentral
UUGGAGGGCAAGUCUGGUGCCAGCAGCCGCGGUAAUUCCAGCUCCAAUAGCGUAUAUUAAAGUUGUUGCAGUUAAAAAGCUCGUAGUUGAAUUUCGGGAUCGACGGGUCGGUCGCGCCUCCGGUGUGUACUGGCCCUGUCGGUUUCUCACCUUCUGACGAACCACGAUGUCAUUAAUUUGAUGUCGUGGGAAAUCAGGACUGUUACUUUGAAAAAAUUAGAGUGUUUAAAGCAGGCAUUCGCUUGAAUACAUUAGCAUGGAAUAAUGAAAUAGGACGUUUGAUCUUAUUUUGUUGGUUUCUAAGAUCGACGUAAUGAUUAAUAGGGAUAGUUGGGGGCAUUAGUAUUCAAUUGUCAGAGGUGAAAUUCUUGGAUUUAUUGAAGACUAACUACUGCGAAAGCAUUUGCCAAGGAUGUUUUCAUUAAUCAAGAACGAAAGUUAGGGGAUCGAAGACGAUCAGAUACCGUCGUAGUCUUAACCAUAAACUAUGCCGACUAGGGAUCGGAUGAUGUUAAUUUUUUAAUGACUCAUUCGGCGCCUUACGGGAAAC